Molecule: ribosomal RNA, 446 nt
Filed under: uncultured bacterium
Lineage: Bacteria
Description: partial 16S ribosomal RNA
Rfam family: Bacterial small subunit ribosomal RNA
Source: RNAcentral
CCUACGGGUGGCAGCAGUCGAGAAUCAUUCACAAUGGAGGAAACCCUGAUGGUGCGACGCCGCGUGGGGGAAUGCAGGUCUUCGGAUUGUAAACCCCUGUCAUGUGGGAGCAAAUUAAAAAGAUAGUACCACAAGAGGAAGAGUCGGCUAACUCUGUGCCAGCAGCCGCGGUACUACAGAGGUCUCAAGCGUUGUUCGGAAUCACUGGGCGUAAAGCGUGCGUAGGCUGUUUCGUAAGUCGUGUGUGAAAGGCGCGGGCUCAACCCGCGGACGGCAAAUGAGACUGCGAGACUAGAGUAAUGGAGGGGGAGGCGGAAUUCGUGGUGUAGCAGUGAAAUGCGUAGAGAUCGAGAGGAACACUCGUGGCGAAGGCGGGUUCCUGGACAGUAACUGACGCUGAGGCACGAAGGCCAGGGGAGCGAAAGGGAUUAGAUACCCCAGUAGUA